This is a long non-coding RNA of Sinocyclocheilus grahami, 480 nucleotides long. RefSeq lists it as uncharacterized. NCBI's taxonomy places the organism in Eukaryota, Metazoa, Chordata, Actinopteri, Cypriniformes, Cyprinidae. The record is from RefSeq and is a predicted model, not a curated record. The transcript is spliced from 2 exons.
GUGAACUAUCCCUUCAAUAUUCAUGAGCCAAGCUGAUAAGUUUUAUAAUUGUGUCUGUCCAUUUUCAGACCUUUCUACAACCCUGAUCCUUACCAUGGUGUGGUCACAUUUACCGUUGCUCAGAGAAAAAAAAGCAGAACCAAAUGUGACAAAAUACCAUGAAUUACAUACAGGUUUAUAAUGUUGGUGUUGGCUGAAUAGUUGCCGCUCGUCCAUUGUGGAUCUUCUGUUUUGUUUUGUUGCUUAGUUACGAGUUUCUGCCCACACAGAGGUCACUGAUGAACAUCAACCAAGAGGCUUGUUAUUAGACAUUGCUGCAAAUUUGCAGAGGGAAAUGUUUCACCACCAGAAGUUUAUCUGGCGAAAUUGCAUUACACCAAUUCCCAUUGAACUGACUAGAUUUCACUUGUGAAAUUUUGCCAAGCAACAGUAAAUGUGACCACACUGUAAUGUUUACAACCAGAUGAAAUCAUGAAAAAA